AUCCAAAGAGGGUGCUAGACCCUUACGCAUUGUUGACUUUUCGUACGCGUUCGUUUCUUGGAGUAGGGUUGUUUUGGAUCGCAGCCCAAAGUAGGUGGUAUACUUCAUCUAAAGCUAAAUACGACUACGAAUCCGAUAGCAAACAAGUACCGUGAGGGAAAGUUGCAAAGUACUUUGAAGAGAGAGUUCAAGAGGACGUGAAACCGGUAGGGUGGAAGCAGAUAAAGUUGACGAACGUGUGUCGUAUUCAGAACUACAAUUUGUGGUUUGUUUUUACGAUCGAUGUGGGCUGGCGUCUUUGGUUAACUUAGUGUCUGGCGGCAAUGGUGACCCUGCGGAGGGAUAAUCGGUUGUCGUGCGAUGCUUGGUAUGGCUAGAGGUUCGCUGGUCUUAUAGUCAUCGCUUUAUCUGACCCGUCUUGAAACACGGACCAAGGAGUGUAGCGCUUACGCGAGUCUUAGAGUGUGUCAAAACUUUGAGGCGUAACGAAAGUAAAUGUGGAUUUAUUCACUGACUUGGGAUGCGUUGUCUUUUUUGGAUAGCGUUGGACCAUGGUUUUAUCGUAAUCGCUUGCGAUGCGGUGAAAAUAGAGCGUAAGCGGUGCGACCCG
RNAcentral lists this ribosomal RNA (610 nucleotides) under Steinernema sp. eMW16.3TH. Its description in RNAcentral is "eukaryotic LSU rRNA". It matches the Rfam family "Eukaryotic large subunit ribosomal RNA", at positions 201 to 818 of the family's 3401-position model. The record is from RNAcentral. RNAcentral also lists the same sequence under 1 other name. Lineage: Eukaryota; Metazoa; Nematoda; Chromadorea; Rhabditida; Steinernematidae.